Molecule: ribosomal RNA, 465 nt
Filed under: uncultured bacterium
Lineage: Bacteria
Description: partial 16S ribosomal RNA
Rfam family: Bacterial small subunit ribosomal RNA
Source: RNAcentral
CCUACGGGGGGCAGCAGUGGGGAAUAUUGCGCAAUGGGCGAAAGCCUGACGCAGCGACGCCGCGUGAGGGAUGAAGGUCUUCGGAUCGUAAACCUCUGUCAGCAGGGAAGAACGGUCACUGUGCUAAUCAGCAGUGAAUUGACGGUACCUGCAAAGGAAGCACCGGCUAACUCCGUGCCAGCAGCCGCGGUAAUACGGAGGGUGCGAGCGUUAAUCGGAAUUACUGGGCGUAAAGCGCUCGUAGGCGGUAUGUCAAGUCAAGGGGGAAAUCCCCGCGCUCAACGUGGGAACUGCCUUUGAAACUGGCAAACUGGAGUGUGUGAGAGGAUAGUGGAAUUCCAGGUGGAGGAGUGAAAUCCGUAGAGAUCUGGAGGAACAUCAGUGGCGAAGGCGACUAUCUGGCACAUAACUGACGCUGAGGAGCGAAAGCGUGGGUAGCAAACAGGAUUAGAUACCCGGGUAGUC